This 202-nucleotide long non-coding RNA is filed under the name Mytilus galloprovincialis (Mediterranean mussel). The record is from RNAcentral. Lineage: Eukaryota; Metazoa; Mollusca; Bivalvia; Mytilida; Mytilidae.
GUUUUACUGUUUUCAUCUGUCAACCUUAGUAUGACACAUCUCCGAAGCAGUUAAUAAAGGGAAUUUAUUUUCUUUAAUCACAAUUGUCAUCUUCAGAAUUGUAUUGAAGCAACAUUUUUACAAUAUCUGUAUGACCCAAUCUAGAUGCAAUAGAUAAAGGGGAUUCGUUUGUAUCAGUGCAAAUAUUAGGAUCAGAAUUGUG